UACGGAGGUGUCAAGCGUUGUUCGGAUUCAUUGGGCGUAAAGGGUGCGUAGGCGGCGCGGUAAGUCGGGUGUGAAAUCUCGGGGCUUAACUUCGAAACUGCAUUCGAUACUGCCGUGCUUGAGGACUGGAGAGGAGACUGGAAUUUACGGUGUAGCGGUGAAAUGCGUAGAUAUCGGAAGGAAGACCAGUGGCGAAGGCGGGUCUCUGGACAGUGCCUGACGCUGAGGCACGAAGGCCUGGGGAGCAAACGGG
RNAcentral lists this ribosomal RNA (253 nucleotides) under uncultured bacterium. RNAcentral's name for it is "partial 16S ribosomal RNA". It matches the Rfam family "Bacterial small subunit ribosomal RNA", at positions 524 to 776 of the family's 1533-position model. The record is from RNAcentral.